UCCUACGGGAGGCAGCAGUGAGGAAUAUUGGACAAUGGGGGGAACCCUGAUCCAGCCAUGCCGCGUGCAGGAAGACUGCCCUAUGGGUUGUAAACUGCUUUUAUACAGGAAGAAACUGCGCUACGUGUAGCGUACUGACGGUACUGUAAGAAUAAGGAUCGGCUAACUCCGUGCCAGCAGCCGCGGUAAUACGGAGGAUCCAAGCGUUAUCCGGAAUCAUUGGGUUUAAAGGGUCCGUAGGUGGUCUAUUAAGUCAGAGGUGAGAGCCUAUCGCUCAACGAUAGAACUGCCUUUGAUACUGAUGGACUUGAGUUAUUGUGAAGUAGUUAGAAUAUGUAGUGUAGCGGUGAAAUGCAUAGAUAUUACAUAGAAUACCGAUUGCGAAGGCAGAUUACUAACAAUAUACUGACACUGAGGGACGAAAGCGUGGGUAGCGAACAGGAUUAGAUACCCUGGUAGUCCACGCCGUAAACGAUGGUCACUAGCUGUUUGACUAACAUUGGUUAGUUGAGUGGCUAAGCGAAAGUGAUAAGUGACCCACCUGGGGAGUACGCUCGCAAGAGUGAAACUCAAAUGAAUUGACGG
This 585-nucleotide ribosomal RNA is filed under the name uncultured bacterium. Its description in RNAcentral is "bacterial SSU rRNA". It matches the Rfam family "Bacterial small subunit ribosomal RNA", at positions 337 to 916 of the family's 1533-position model. The record is from RNAcentral.